Molecule: long non-coding RNA, 201 nt
Filed under: Sorghum bicolor (sorghum)
Lineage: Eukaryota; Viridiplantae; Streptophyta; Magnoliopsida; Poales; Poaceae
Description: long non-coding RNA (SBIC_LNC014947)
Source: RNAcentral
UCCCUGCGAUGUAGGCCCUAUCCUUCUCAGACUGACACCUAGCAACAUAGGCCUAUAAUAGAAAAUCUAUUUUCAUUUUUAUUGCCAUGGAUACAUAUUUGGUGAACAUAUAUUUGCAUGCUAACAAUACAUUUAGACUGAACACAUCACUAGGCAUUGCCCGAUCUGAAUGCCAAUAUUUUUAUUUAUUUCCUGCGCAUU